This 817-nucleotide ribosomal RNA is filed under the name uncultured Acidobacteriota bacterium. RNAcentral's name for it is "bacterial SSU rRNA". It matches the Rfam family "Bacterial small subunit ribosomal RNA", at positions 58 to 879 of the family's 1533-position model. The record is from RNAcentral. Lineage: Bacteria; Pseudomonadati; Acidobacteriota.
CAAGUCGAGCGAGAAAAGGGGGGCAACUCCCUGAGUAAAGCGGCGCACGGGUGAGUAACACGUGGGUAAUCUGCCCUGGAGUGGGGAAUAACACCGGGAAACCGGUGCUAAUACCGCAUACGAUAGCGGGAUCUGCGGAUUUCGUUAUGAAAGGAGCAAUUCGCUCUAGGAGGAGCCCGCGGCUGAUUAGCUAGUUGGUGAGGUAAUGGCUCACCAAGGCUACGAUCAGUAUCCGGUCUGAGAGGACGGUCGGACACACUGGAACUGAGACACGGUCCAGACUCCUACGGGAGGCAGCAGUGGGGAAUUUUUGGCAAUGGGGGCAACCCUGACCAAGCAACGCCGCGUGGGUGAUGAAGUCUCUUGGGACGUAAAACCCUUUCGACGGGGAAGAAACCGCAAGGUUGACGGUACCCGUAGAAGAAGCCCCGGCUAACUCCGUGCCAGCAGCCGCGGUAAUACGGGGGGGGCAAGCGUUGUUCGGAAUUACUGGGCGUAAAGGGUGCGUAGGCGGUCUGUUAAGUUGGAUGUGAAAACUCUGGGCUCAACCCANAGCCUGCAUCCAAAACUGGCAGGCUAGAGCUCUGGAGGGGGUAGCGGAAUUCCUGGUGUAGCGGUGAAAUGCGUAGAUAUCAGGAGGAACACCGGUGGCGAAGGCGGCUACCUGGACAGAAACUGACGCUGAGGCACGAAAGCUAGGGGAGCAAACAGGAUUAGAUACCCUGGUAGUCCUAGCCCUAAACGAUGGAUACUUGCUGUGACUGGGAAUUGAAUCCAGUCGUGGCGAAGCUAACGCAUUAAGUUAUCCCCCUGGGGA